Molecule: ribosomal RNA, 447 nt
Filed under: uncultured bacterium
Lineage: Bacteria
Description: bacterial SSU rRNA
Rfam family: Bacterial small subunit ribosomal RNA
Source: RNAcentral
UCCAGACUCCUACGGGAGGCAGCAGUGGGGAAUAUUGCACAAUGGGGGAAACCCUGAUGCAGCGACGCCGCGUGAGUGAAGAAGUAAUUCGGUAUGUAAAGCUCUAUCAGCAGGGAAGAAAAUGACGGUACCUGACUAAGAAGCCCCGGCUAACUACGUGCCAGCAGCCGCGGUAAUACGUAGGGGGCAAGCGUUAUCCGGAUUUACUGGGUGUAAAGGGAGCGUAGACGGCAUGGCAAGUCAGAUGUGAAAGCCCGGGGCUCAACCCCGGGACUGCAUUUGAAACUGUCAGGCUGGAGUGCAGGAGAGGUAAGUGGAAUUCCUAGUGUAGCGGUGAAAUGCGUAGAUAUUAGGAGGAACACCAGUGGCGAAGGCGGCCUGCUGGACGACAACUGACGGUGAGGCGCGAAAGCGUGGGGAGCAAACAGGAUUAGAUACCCUAGUAAC